UACGUAGGGUGCAGGCGUUAAUCGGAAUUACUGGGCGUAAAGCGUGCGCAGGCGGUUUCUUAAGUCAGAUGUGAAAGCCCCGGGCUUAACCUGGGAACUGCGUUUGAAACUGGGAGACUUGAGUGUGGCAGAGGGGGGUGGAAUUCCACGUGUAGCAGUGAAAUGCGUAGAUAUGUGGAGGAACACCGAUGGCGAAGGCAGCCCCCUGGGUUAACACUGACGCUCAUGCACGAAAGCGUGGGGAGCAGACAGG
RNAcentral lists this ribosomal RNA (253 nucleotides) under uncultured bacterium. RNAcentral describes it as "partial 16S ribosomal RNA". It matches the Rfam family "Bacterial small subunit ribosomal RNA", at positions 524 to 776 of the family's 1533-position model. The record is from RNAcentral.